GGUUUGUAGCUCAGUGGUAGAGCGCUCGCCUAGCAUGUGUGAGGCACCGGGUUCAAUUCUCAGCACCA
Molecule: transfer RNA, 68 nt
Filed under: Marmota monax (woodchuck)
Lineage: Eukaryota; Metazoa; Chordata; Mammalia; Rodentia; Sciuridae
Description: tRNA.Ala
Rfam family: tRNA (bases 5-65)
About the family: Transfer RNA (tRNA) molecules are approximately 80 nucleotides in length. Their secondary structure includes four short double-helical elements and three loops (D, anti-codon, and T loops). Further hydrogen bonds mediate the characteristic L-shaped molecular structure. tRNAs have two regions of fundamental functional importance: the anti-codon, which is responsible for specific mRNA codon recognition, and the 3' end, to which the tRNAs corresponding amino acid is attached (by aminoacyl-tRNA synthetases). tRNAs cope with the degeneracy of the genetic code in two manners: having more than one tRNA (with a specific anti-codon) for a particular amino acid; and 'wobble' base-pairing, i.e. permitting non-standard base-pairing at the 3rd anti-codon position.
Source: RNAcentral